ACACGUAGGGGGCGAGCGUUAUCCGGAAUUACUGGGCGUAAAGAGUGCGUAGGUGGCUUUGCAGGCGUAGGGUAUAAGGCGACAGCCCAACUGUCGUUGGCCCCGCGAACUGUAAGGCUUGAGUACAGGAGGGGAAGGCGGAAUUCCUAGUGUAGCGGUGAAAUGCGUAGAUAUUAGGAGGAACACCAGUGGCGAAGGCGGCCUUCUGGACUGUAACUGACACUGAGGCACGAAAGCGUGGGUAGCAAACAGGAUUAGAUACCCUGGUAGUCCACGCCGUAAACGAUGAGCACUAGGUGUCGGGCUCGCAAGAGUUCGGUGCCGGAGCAAACGCAUUAAGUGCUCCGCCUGGGGAGUACGCACGCAAGUGUGAAACUCAAAUGAAUUGACGGGG
RNAcentral lists this ribosomal RNA (394 nucleotides) under uncultured bacterium. Its description in RNAcentral is "partial 16S ribosomal RNA". It matches the Rfam family "Bacterial small subunit ribosomal RNA", at positions 523 to 918 of the family's 1533-position model. The record is from RNAcentral.